AGUGAACGCUGGCGGUAGGCCUAACACAUGCAAGUCGAACGGCAGCACAGUAAGAGCUUGCUCUUACGGGUGGCGAGUGGCGGACGGGUGAGGAAUACAUCGGAAUCUACUUUUUCGGGGGGGAUAAGGUAGGGAAACUUACGCUAAUACAGCAUACGACGUACGGGUGAAAGCAGGGGAUCUUCGCACCUUGCGCGAUUGAAUGAGCCGAUGUCGGAUUAGCUAGUUGGCGGGGUAAAGGCCCACCUAGGCGACGAUCCGUAGCCCGUCUGAGUGGAUGGUCGGCCACACUGGAACGGGAACGCGGUCCAGACGCCUACGGUAGGCAGCAGUGGGGAAUAUUGGACAAUGGGCGCAAGCCUGAUCCAGCCAUACCGCGUGGGUGAAGAAGGCCUUCUGGUUGUAAAGCCCUUUUGUUGGGAAAGAAAAGCAGCAGGUUAAGACCCCGCUGUUCUGACGGUACCCAAAGAAGAAGCACCGGCUAACUUCGUG
This 492-nucleotide ribosomal RNA is filed under the name uncultured bacterium. Its description in RNAcentral is "partial 16S ribosomal RNA". It matches the Rfam family "Bacterial small subunit ribosomal RNA", at positions 29 to 507 of the family's 1533-position model. The record is from RNAcentral.